This is a long non-coding RNA of Lutzomyia longipalpis, 889 nucleotides long. RefSeq lists it as uncharacterized. The record is from RefSeq and is a predicted model, not a curated record. The transcript is spliced from 2 exons. Lineage: Eukaryota; Metazoa; Arthropoda; Insecta; Diptera; Psychodidae.
CACCCGCAACGGCCGGCAUGCUCAAUGGCACAGCUGCCAGGGGAGCCAAAGUGGGUUUGACAAUAGCAUAAAUGGGGAGCGCCGCCGCUGCCGCCAAUGGUGGUAUCAAACGCGGCAUCAAACUGCGUACCAAUGGCGAAGCCGUGGCUUGCCCUAACACAAUACAUACAUUCAGAUUUAUCAAUCCAAAUUUUGUUGUUUUUUUCUCUCCCUAAUUUACUUUUUGUUCAAUAAUUUUUGAUAAAUGUGUGAGAGAGAAAAUGAUCUUUCACUCACCAUAAGGAGUCUCAUUCCAACUAUUGAUCACCGUUGGAUCAUGGUCGACUUCCCUUUGGCAAACACCCUCUUCUUGUUCCGGAUGCUGUGACUGUUGCUGCGGUAAUCUCUGCUGGACACUACCUGCUGCACUAAAUGCGUGCUGAUGAUGCUGCGGCAGAUUCUGCACCCAAGAUAAGUGUGCUUGUUGCUGUUGCUUUUCACCUGGAUAUAGUGUUGUUGCAAGUUGACUUCUUUCGGUAUCAUUGACAUCAGACAGAUCUAGGAAUUCGUAGCACUCCUGUGUCACCUAGAAAAUAGCCCCAAAAAUACAUUUUUUUUAAGAAUUUCAAUUUUUUUUGUGAGAAUUCUUUUUACAAAAAAAUGAUUGAUUUGUUUUUUUUUUAAGUGAACUCAUCAAACUAAAAAUAGAAUUAAAAAAAAUUAUCAAAGAAAAACAAUAAUUUCUUAUUUUGUGUUAUCUUAUCACACAUAUAUAUUUUAUUACGUGACCAAGUAACAAAAUGUAAUAAAUAUAUAGAAUAGAAUGCGAGCUGUCUCAAAAGUUAAAUUUUGUAUGAGAAAAAGAAGGGUUAAGAAGUUAAAAAGAAGUAAUAAAACAACAUUUUUAAAA